UGUCCUUCGCGAAUCUUUUUGCGGUCUGGGCUUGCUGUAUAUAACUAUGUAGCCGGGAAGCCCUUACCCCAAAAAGCAUUCGAGGAGGACACA
MicroRNA precursor from Notamacropus eugenii (tammar wallaby), 93 nucleotides. Ensembl annotates it as microRNA 129-2. Its record names the gene MIR129-2. The record is from Ensembl. Lineage: Eukaryota; Metazoa; Chordata; Mammalia; Diprotodontia; Macropodidae.